Molecule: long non-coding RNA, 111 nt
Organism: Amblyraja radiata (thorny skate)
Lineage: Eukaryota; Metazoa; Chordata; Chondrichthyes; Rajiformes; Rajidae
Exons: 3
Source: RefSeq, a predicted model, not a curated record
AAAGGACGUUCCUGUCAGAACGAGAUGAUCAUGAAUUUCUUUAGUCAGAGGGUGGUGAAUCUGUAGAAUUGAUUGCCACCAAAGGCUGUGGAGAGACAAUGGGUAUUUUUA